ACGGGAGGCAGCAGUGGGGAAUAUUGGGCAAUGGGCGCAAGCCUGACCCAGCAACGCCGCGUGAAGGAUGAAGGUCUUCGGAUUGUAAACUUCUUUAAUCGGGGAAGAAAAGAAUGACCUACCCGAAGAAUAAGCCACGGCUAACUACGUGCCAGCAGCCGCGGUAAUACGUAGGUGGCGAGCGUUAUCCGGAUUUACUGGGUGUAAAGGGCGCGUAGGCGGGGAUGCAAGUCAGAUGUGAAAUCCAUGGGCUUAACUCAUGAACUGCAUUUGAAACUGUAUCUCUUGAGUGUCGGAGAGGUAGAUGGAAUUCCUAGUGUAGCGGUGAAAUGCGUAGAUAUUAGGAGGAACACCAGUGGCGAAGGCGAUCUACUGGACGAUAACUGACGCUGAGGCGCGAAAGCGUGGGGAGCAAACAGGAUUAGAUACCCUGGUA
This 436-nucleotide ribosomal RNA is filed under the name uncultured Saccharofermentans sp. Its description in RNAcentral is "partial 16S ribosomal RNA". It matches the Rfam family "Bacterial small subunit ribosomal RNA", at positions 341 to 792 of the family's 1533-position model. The record is from RNAcentral. Lineage: Bacteria; Bacillati; Bacillota; Clostridia; Eubacteriales; Oscillospiraceae.